AACGUUCAACAACGGAUAUAUAGGUUGUGGCAUUGAUGAAGAACGCAGUGAAAUGCGAUAAGUAAUGUGAAUUGCAGAAUUUAGCGAAUCAUAGAAUGUUCGAACGCACAUUGCGCCCCUGGGAAUUCCCAGGGGCAUGCCUGUUCGAGCGUCC
RNAcentral lists this ribosomal RNA (154 nucleotides) under Blumeria hordei DH14. RNAcentral's name for it is "Blumeria graminis f. sp. hordei DH14 5.8S ribosomal RNA". It matches the Rfam family "5.8S ribosomal RNA". Rfam says of the family: 5.8S ribosomal RNA (5.8S rRNA) is a component of the large subunit of the eukaryotic ribosome. The record is from Rfam by way of RNAcentral. Lineage: Eukaryota; Fungi; Ascomycota; Leotiomycetes; Helotiales; Erysiphaceae.